UGGCAAGGAGGAUAUUAUUGUAAAUGAAACAACAUGAUUGCUUUAUACGCUAUUCUGAGCCAGUU
Molecule: small nucleolar RNA, 65 nt
Organism: Carcharodon carcharias (great white shark)
Lineage: Eukaryota; Metazoa; Chordata; Chondrichthyes; Lamniformes; Lamnidae
Product: small nucleolar RNA U54
Exons: 1
Source: RefSeq, a predicted model, not a curated record